RNAcentral lists this ribosomal RNA (506 nucleotides) under uncultured bacterium. RNAcentral's name for it is "partial 16S ribosomal RNA". It matches the Rfam family "Bacterial small subunit ribosomal RNA", at positions 30 to 523 of the family's 1533-position model. The record is from RNAcentral.
AUUGAACGCUGGCGGCAGGCCUAACACAUGCAAGUCGAACGGUAACAGGAAACAGCUUGCUGUUUCGCUGACGAGUGGCGGACGGGUGAGUAAUGUCUGGGAAACUGCCUGAUGGAGAGGGAUAACUACUGGAAACGGUAGCUAAUACCGCAUAACGUCGCAAGACCAAAGAGGGGGACCCUCGGGCCUCUUGCCAUCGGAUGUGCCCAGAUGGGAUUAGCUUGUUGGUGGGGUAACGGCUCACCAAGGCGACGAUCCCUAGCUGGUCUGAGAGGAUGACCAGCCACACUGGAACUGAGACACGGUCCAGACUCCUACGGGAGGCAGCAGUGGGGAAUAUUGCACAAUGGGCGCAAGCCUGAUGCAGCCAUGCCGCGUGUAUGAAGAAGGCCUUCGGGUUGUAAAGUACUUUCAGCGGGGAGGAAGGGAGUAAAGUUAAUACCUUUGCUCAUUGACGUUACCCGCAGAAGAAGCACCGGCUAACUCCGUGCCAGCAGCCGCCGCUG